This 383-nucleotide unclassified non-coding RNA is filed under the name uncultured Micrococcales bacterium. RNAcentral's name for it is "contains 16S-23S intergenic spacer region". The record is from RNAcentral. Lineage: Bacteria; Bacillati; Actinomycetota; Actinomycetes; Micrococcales.
UCCGAGUUGACCCCGGCAGUCUCCCAUGAGUCCCCAGCCACCCGAAGGUGCUGCUGGCAACAUAGGACGAGGGUUGCGCUCGUUGCGGGACUUAACCCAACAUCUCACGACACGAGCUGACGACAACCAUGCACCACCUGUAUACCGACCUUGCGGGGCGACCAUCUCUGGACGUUUCCGGUAUAUGUCAAGCCUUGGUAAGGUUCUUCGCGUUGCAUCGAAUUAAUCCGCAUGCUCCGCCGCUUGUGCGGGCCCCCGUCAAUUCUUUUGAGUUUUAGCCUUGCGGCCGUACUCCCCAGGCGGGACACUUAACGCGUUAGCUGCGGCACAGAGGGAUUCGACUCCACCCACACCUAGUGUCCAUCGUUUACGGCUAGGACUAC